RNAcentral lists this long non-coding RNA (1099 nucleotides) under Mytilus galloprovincialis (Mediterranean mussel). The record is from RNAcentral. Lineage: Eukaryota; Metazoa; Mollusca; Bivalvia; Mytilida; Mytilidae.
AUCAAAGUUAUGAUGUUUGGUAUAGUUUAUGUAAAUCUUUAACAAAAUUCACCAUACUUCAUAUAAACUUAUAAUUAGAAUAAACUGAGAUCUAUGGCCAAGGUCAAAGGUCAAGGUCAUUUUUGGAGCUAAAAUAAAUCACUAGUCUCCUUUUUUGUUAAAUUUUCAAAAGUAUAUACUUAUUGGUCCCAUAAUCUUCAUUACAUUUGUUAAUAAUGACCAUUUGAUGAUAUUCAAAAGAUCAAGGAAGGGUUUCAACCUUUAGGGGUCAACAGGUCAAAGGUCAAGUAAUUUUAGGAGCUAGAAUUAGACAGUGACCUUCUUUUUCGGUACUAUAAUCUUUAAUCUUUAAUUACAUCAUAUGGCAUGCAAUAGAUAAAGGAUUAGAUUGACCUUGAGGUCAAAUGGUCAAUGGUCAAGAUGAUUUUAGGACCUGAAAAUUCUCCUUUCUUUGCUCAUUUUUUUAAAAGUUAGUAAUUUUAACAUGUCAAAAGUAGUAUGAAUUAAAAGUACAGUACUUAGUAUACAUAUAGUAAACAUAUUUAUAUACUUUCAUUCUGUAUGCCCUUAAAAUUUGACCCUUUGAUCUAAGGGUUGAAGCCUAUCCUUCAUCUAUUGAAUAUCAUCGAAAGGGACCUAUUGGUAAAAAGAUUUAUUUUAGCAACAUGGUAAAAAUACAUGUAUGGAUAGAUGUCAUGUUUGUAUAUGUAUGUGAAAAAUGAAUAAUGUGUUUAUAGUGGCAAAAACAUUUGUUUAUGUUUCUGAAUGUAAUCAUGGACAAUAUUUAUGGUUUUGCUACAUAUUUCCGAUUUUGUUGAAUGUGUAACACCAGACAUCACAUGAACAGCAUCAGGCUUUUUUGAAUGCAGAGGAUGCCUAUUCUUUUAUUUCAUACCAAAGAAUACCCAAUCAUUCCUGUCCCACAUUGAACUCAGUUAGUUCAAUUAUCUCCCUUGAAAUAAUUUUGAUCUGGUAUAAUAUACUCCUUCAUGCACAUUAUAAAUAAUAGAAAUCUUCUAUAAUGAUAUUCAAUAAACUCAAUCACAUUCCAAUAUUUAUUUGCACAUUAUCAUGAUUUAAAAACAAAAAAAUGUAAGAC